GACGUAAAUUCGGCGAUGAUUCUCAAGAGCAGUGGGGUUUUUCUUCAACCUUUUGGCCAAUGCAGAUAGAAAAUCAGCCAUGAAAACCCAGCCAAAGGAUGGCCCAUUGCCGAUGGUCACACGGUUCACAUUCACCAUCACAGCUUUCUCCUUUUUGACAAGCAAAGAGUACCCAACAGAGCUGUAAUCAUUGAAAAUAGGCCCAACGAAGACAUAAGCAUCAGCUGAUUCAACUAUCUCUCCACAGAAGCUGGUGCUGACAGCGCCCCAAUACGUCCCUAUGAACUGUGGAUGAUGCU
RNAcentral lists this unclassified non-coding RNA (299 nucleotides) under Hevea brasiliensis (rubber tree). Lineage: Eukaryota; Viridiplantae; Streptophyta; Magnoliopsida; Malpighiales; Euphorbiaceae. The record is from RNAcentral.